RNAcentral lists this ribosomal RNA (514 nucleotides) under uncultured Pseudomonadota bacterium. Its description in RNAcentral is "bacterial SSU rRNA". It matches the Rfam family "Bacterial small subunit ribosomal RNA", at positions 355 to 859 of the family's 1533-position model. Lineage: Bacteria; Pseudomonadati; Pseudomonadota. The record is from RNAcentral.
UCGGGAAUCUUGGGCAAUGGGCGCAAGCCUGACCCAGCGACGCCGCGUGAGGGAUGAAGGCCUUCGGGUCGUAAACCUCUGUCAGGAGGGAAGAACGGCCGCGAGGUGAACAAUCUCGUGGUCUGACGGUACCUCCGAAGGAAGCGCCGGCUAACUCCGUGCCAGCAGCCGCGGUAAUACGGAGGGCGCAAGCGUUGUUCGGAAUCACUGGGCGUAAAGCGCGUGUAGGCGGCUUGGCAAGUCGGGUGUGAAAUCCCGAGGCUCAACCUCGGAACUGCACUCGAAACUGCUUCGCUCGAGUCCCGGAGAGGGUGGCGGAAUUCCCGGUGUAGGGGUGAAAUCCGUAGAUAUCGGGAGGAACACCAGUGGCGAAGGCGGCCACCUGGACGGUGACUGACGCUGAGACGCGAAAGCGUGGGGAGCAAACAGGAUUAGAUACCCUGGUAGUCCACGCCGUAAACGGUGAGUGCUAGACGUCGCGGGUAUUGACCCCCGCGGUGUCGCAGCUAACGCG